AACAUGUUUUCCCUUUGUCAGUAUGGGUUACUGAAAGUACAGUGGUGGGAACAAAGGUCUGUUUUAUCCAUUUAAUCAAAUCUUCAACAUAAGUGAAGGUCUGAAUACUUCCUGGGGACACUGUAUAUAUGUGUAUGUUUAUGAACAAACAGUUAUUAAACACACCUGUGGUGUUCCUGCUGCUGAUGUUGUGUCUCUGUAACAACUGCAGGGUCCUGUGAAAGUGAAGCUCACUAAGCCUCCGAUUGUCAGCAUCCGUCAAAGCGGACUCACCGUCUACGUGAAGGCCAGAGCACAAUCUCUAGUUAAACAACGUCUAACACCUCUUCCUUUGACCUGUCAGGUUGAUCUGAAGGUCAAUAUCAGAGGAAAACAUCUGGAUCUUCUCUCUAAAGAUGCCAAGUGUAAAGUCCAACCUCAAACAUUUGGGGGAAAACUUGUGGCGCCACUUGUUAACAUCGGCCUCAACAGAAAGAUCACAGAUGAUCUGAUGC
Long non-coding RNA from Lates calcarifer (barramundi perch), 494 nucleotides. RefSeq lists it as uncharacterized. Lineage: Eukaryota; Metazoa; Chordata; Actinopteri; Centropomidae. The record is from RefSeq and is a predicted model, not a curated record. The transcript has 4 exons.